This 2587-nucleotide long non-coding RNA is filed under the name Olea europaea subsp. europaea. Lineage: Eukaryota; Viridiplantae; Streptophyta; Magnoliopsida; Lamiales; Oleaceae. The record is from RNAcentral.
UUUUCUCACAGACGAGAGCUGCUUGGGGACUGGGGAGGAAACAUCAAACAAGGUCGGCAACUGCUGAAAUAUAUAUACAAAUCGGCGGCUACAAAGGAGGAGACAAGAACAAGCAAAAGAAAAAAAAAACGAGGAGGCUGCCGGAAAUUGGUUUGUUAAUUGGAAGAACAUUACAAGCGGCUGAAUUGGAUUCUCUGACCAAAAGAAUUGCUGUCUCUGUAAUGCACACAACAAAGGAGGCUGAAUUAAUCAUAUAAAAACACAAAAAAAGAGGCAGCUUCUGGGAGAGUUCAGCAGUUUGAGGAAAUAAAGAAAAACGUGGGCUGCAACAUAUAUAUUUACACAAACAUGGGCUGCUUUUGAAGAGACAAAAAGAGGCAAAAAUUGAGGCUGCUGGUUGACAAAUAUAUACAUAUAUACACGUGCAGACUGAGAGGGAAAAAGGGAGAAUUACACAAACAGAUUUGGAAGGAAGAAAAGGCAAACACGAAGAUGACAAAGACGUGACCACGGCAGCGUCACUUUGGAAAUUAAUUACGCUUCGUCAAUUAAUCCCGGUGAUGUCUUCCAUUAUUUUAUCUUGUUUUUCUUCCAUUAUUAUGAAUAGCUAAAUUUGAUUUAGGGCGAACAAUCUAACUUAAUUGGAUUCCUUUAUUUCGUUGAAUUAAGAUUCUAGUGCUUUAAUUUUUUAUGUGUUGAUUUUAAUGUCGUGCUUAAUGCUUUUAAUUACUUGAUAACUAAUUAGAUGAUUUGUGAACAAUGAUUGCGUAGAGAUACGGAUUAUUUGAUUAGACUGCAUGUUAAAAUCCGGUAAAUUGAUAUAACGUGUAGAGAAAUCUUUAUUGAUUGUUGCGGUCGUGUGUGAAUUCUUAGAACUAAUGUUGCGUUUAAUUAAAUUUAAUUUGCAUAGAAAUAUGAAAUUGAACUAAUUAAAUAGGCUCAACGAGAACUCGAGAGGAGUAAGUUGAAAUACCACAAAAGAAUUUGACCGAACACUACUUUAGGUUGUAUGAAUCUUGAUUUAUGAAAUAAAGGUAACCAUUAGGUGAAAUUGUUCCGCCCUAAUGCCCGUUUAUUAUUUGAAUUCUCGCUUAUUUUCUGUUGCAUCCAUUUGCAUUUUUUUUUUUUUAGUAUUUAGAUAGAUUUAAAAAUCACAUUCAAUUUCUAUUUAUUUAUUUAUUUUCAUUAAAUAGAAGUUAGGAAUAAUAAAUUAACCACUAAAAUAUAGUCCUCGUGGGAACGAUAAUUCGGACUCAAAAGGUCCACUUUACUACUUGUUACGAACCGUUCACUUGUGGGAUAAAAUCGACAACAAAAACCGUUGAUAAACAAAAGCCUUUAUACUCCAUGAUUAUAUCCUCCUUGUAUAUAUAUGUCACUCUUCUUACAACUUUUGGUAUCAGAGUUCCUUAGCAUAAUGAGGUAUUUUUACAUUUGAGUUCAAACUAUAUAUAUUAUAAAUUGGUUUGAUCUACAUAAUGCUUUAGUUCAUUGAUUAUUUCUUAAUGAACUAAAUCUUGAUAUUUUGACUUGUGACAUUAAAAGAUUUGCACAUACUUCUAGUUUUAGGGGCAUUAAAUAAAUUUUACCCUUGAAAUAAGUAUUUUGAACCUAUCAUAAAUUCACUAAUUUCAAGGAACAGCUAUGGGUCAAACCAUUCUGCUGCACACCCAUUUCCUAUUUUAGCUUAGGGGUGGGGAAUAUAUAUGUGAAUCUUUUAUUUUAUACAUAUUAGCCCAGAGCAUAAUUUGAUUUAGCCCACUGUGACAUAAUUUUCUAGUUUCACUCCUAGUCGAGCUUGAUGAUAGCAUUUCAUAACAACAUAUAAAUCCUGCAUCUUUUAACAAAGUUGUAAUGUCAAAUAGAAAUGAAUAAUACCAUCUAACACUAUGGUCACACUUGAUAUGUCUGUUCAAUUAAAUGAAUCACGUGAUAUUACAAUUAAAUUAAUAUAUCAUUUAAUGUCAAUGGUGUUGAAAAGCAUUACUCAUUAAAAAUACAUAAAUAAAAUGCUGCAGUUACAUAUCCUUCUUUACAGCUGGUAAUAUCCCAAAUAAUUUUCUUUUCUUCUGUUGCAAAGCAUAAGAGGCGCAUUUUCCGUCUUCAUCUUCUUCACAAAGAAGAAGAAAAUUCAGGAAAACUGAAUCAGCAAUCUCCAGCCUUGUCUGAGAGAAAGAUGGGGCUCCCCAGCCAAUAACAAUUUUCAUAUAAUGGGAAAAAAAUAAAGGUAAAAGAGGAAAGUAAGAGCAAAUCCAACUCAAUCACAAAAACUGAUAAACCUGAGUAAGAGAAAAAAAGGGGUUAGAAAAUAAUGGAUAUAAACUAACAAAGAAAUAAAAAUAUAUUCGAUUCCUAUUCACAUUGAUGAUGAAAGUUGAAACUACACAGCCAAGAGGGAAUUUACAAAGCUAGAAAUAGAAAUAUCACACUGAACAUAAGUUGAACAUCUCUGGCUACGUCAGAAGAUCUGCCAUGUCAAACUACAGACACAGAGAUUCUGAACCAUCAAAAUCUUGUGCAGAUUUUCGUCUCUCACAUAUGAGAAGAAUACCAUCAGUUUACAUGUUUUCCGAAGAGAGGUAUAAGC